ACAAACUUGGUCAUUUAGAGGAAGUAAAAGUCGUAACAAGGUUUCCGUAGGUGAACCUGCGGAAGGAUCAUUAUCGAGUUUUGACUGGGUUGUAGCUGGCCUCCCGAGGCAUGUGCACGCCCUGCUCAUCCACUCUACACCUGUGCACUUACUGUGGGCUUCAGACGUCGUGAAGCGGGCUCCUUAUGGAGCUUGUAGAGCGUGUCUGUGCCUGCGUUUACCACAAACUCUAUAAAGUAUUAGAAUGUGUAUUGCGAUGUAACGCAUCUAUGUACAACUUUCAGCAACGGAUCUCUUGGCUCUCGCAUCGAUGAAGAACGCAGC
Molecule: unclassified non-coding RNA, 324 nt
Filed under: uncultured fungus
Lineage: Eukaryota; Fungi
Description: partial contains small subunit ribosomal RNA, internal transcribed spacer 1, and 5.8S ribosomal RNA
Rfam family: Eukaryotic small subunit ribosomal RNA (bases 1-73)
Source: RNAcentral